Molecule: ribosomal RNA, 482 nt
Filed under: uncultured bacterium
Lineage: Bacteria
Description: partial 16S ribosomal RNA
Rfam family: Bacterial small subunit ribosomal RNA
Source: RNAcentral
AUUGAACGCUGGCGGCAUGCCUUACACAUGCAAGUCGAACGGUAACGGGCCUUCGGGUGCCGACGAGUGGCGCACGGGUGAGUAAUACAUCGGAACGUGCCCGAUCGUGGGGGAUAACGAGGCGAAAGCUUUGCUAAUACCGCAUACGAUCUACGGAUGAAAGCAGGGGACCGCAAGGCCUUGCGCGGACGGAGCGGCCGAUGGCAGAUUAGGUAGUUGGUGGGAUAAAAGCUUACCAAGCCGACGAUCUGUAGCUGGUCUGAGAGGAUGAUCAGCCACACUGGGACUAAGACACGGCCCAGACUCCUACGGGAGGCAGCAGUGGGGAAUUUUGGACAAUGGGCGCAAGCCUGAUCCAGCCAUGCCGCGUGCAGGAUGAAGGCCUUCGGGUUGUAAACUGCUUUUGUACGGAACGAAAAGCCUUCUUUUAAUACAGGAGGGUCAUGACGGUACCGUAAGAAUAAGCACCGGCUAACUACGUG